UCUCUUCAAAUUUUAUUUAAUAAAUUGUAUAAAAGAAAUGCUGGUUUACCAGAUAUAGUGAUAAACGGUUGAUAUAAUAAACUAUUCGGACCCGGGGGCGGUACCCGGCACCUCCACCAUAAUUAUGGGGGUGAAAUAGGAUCGACGAGAGCGUAAAAAUCUUCUUUUCACUCGGCAUUGUUCCGCCGUUAUCGGGCUAUUUUAUAGAAGCAAAAAGCGACUAUGCAGAGUAUUCUCUCGCAGCUUAAUGCGCGAGUUACUCAACUUAACUCCUAAUUAUUUGCAUAAUUAGGCGGGGUUUGAGGGGCACCUGGCAACAGAAGCUCCUUGUU
This is a non-coding RNA of Rhizobiales bacterium TMED94, 332 nucleotides long. The record is from Rfam. NCBI's taxonomy places the organism in Bacteria, Pseudomonadati, Pseudomonadota, Alphaproteobacteria, Hyphomicrobiales.